GCAUAUCAAUAAGCGGAGGAAAAGAAACCAACAGGGAUUGCCCUAGUAACGGCGAGUGAAGCGGCAACAGCUCAAAUUUGAAAUCUGGCUUCGGCCCGAGUUGUAAUUUGCAGAGGAUGUUUAUGGUGCGGUACCUUCCGAGUUCCCUGGAACGGGACGCCACAGAGGGUGAGAGCCCCGUCUGGUUGGAUACCAAACCUGUGUUAAACUCCUUCAACGAGUCGAGUAGUUUGGGAAUGCUGCUCUAAAUGGGAGGUAAAUCUCUUCUAAAGCUAAAUACCGGCCAGAGACCGAUAGCGCACAAGUAGAGUGAUCGAAAGAUGAAAAGCACCUUGAAAAGGGGGUUAAACAGUACGUGAAAUUGUUAAAAGGGAAGCGUUUAUGACCAGACUUGUGUCGUGUGGCUCAUCCGAGGUUCUCCCCGGUGCACUCCACACGGCUCAGGCCAACAUCGGUUCUCGUUGGGGGAUAAGAACAGUAGGAACGUGGCCCUCUUCGGAGGGUGUUAUAGCCUGCUGUACGAUACCCUGAUGGGGACCGAGGACCGCGCUUCGGCUAGGAUGUUGGCGUAAUGGUCAUUAGCGACCCGUCUUGAAACACGGACCAAGGAGUCGUCCAUUAGAGCGAGCGUUUGGGUGUCAAACCCGCACGCGUAAUGAAAGUGAAAUUAGGUGAGAGCUUCGGCGCAUCAUCGACCGAUCCUGAAGUUUACGGAUGGAUUUGAGUAAGAGUUUUAACGGACGGACCCGAAAGACAGUGAACUAUGCUUGAAUAGGGUGAAGCCAGAGGAAACUCUGGUGGAGGCUCGCAGCGGUUCUGACGUGCAAAUCGAUCGUCAAAUUUGAGCAUGGGGGGCGAAAGACUAAUCGAACUGUCUAGUAGCUGGUUACCGCG
This 894-nucleotide ribosomal RNA is filed under the name Gnomoniopsis macounii. RNAcentral's name for it is "LSU rRNA". It matches the Rfam family "Eukaryotic large subunit ribosomal RNA", at positions 38 to 962 of the family's 3401-position model. Lineage: Eukaryota; Fungi; Ascomycota; Sordariomycetes; Diaporthales; Gnomoniaceae. The record is from RNAcentral.